CUGUAUGAUCCUGCUAGUAGUCAUAUGCUUAUCUCAAAGAUUAAGCCAUGCAUGUGCAAGUAUGAACCAAUUUGAACUAUGAAACUGUGAAUGGCCCAUUAAAUCAGUUAUAGUUUGUUUGAUGGUACGUGCUACUAGGAUAACUGUAGUAAUUCUAGAGCUAAUACAUGUAACAAACCCCGACUUCUGGGAGGGGGCACAUUUAUUAGAUAAAAGGCUGACGCGGGCUCUGCUCGCUGAUCCGAUGAUUCAUGAUAACUCGACGGAUCGCACUGCCUUCAUGCCAGCGACACAUCAUUCAAAUUUCUGCCCUGUCAACUUUGGAUGGUAGGAUAGGUGCCUACCAUUGUGGUCACGGGUGACGGAGAAUUAGGGUUCGAUGCCAGAGAGGGAGCUUGAGAAACGGCUACCACAUUCAAGGAAGGAAGCAUGCGUGUAAAUUACCCAACACUGACAUGGGGAGGUAGUGACAAUAAAUAACAAUACCGGGCGCAUUAGUGUGUGGUAAUUGGAAUGAGUACAAUCUAAAUCCCUUAACAAGGAUCCAUUGGAGGGCAAGUCUGGUGCCAGCAGUCGUGGUAAUUCUAGCUCCAAUAGCGUAUAUUUAAGUUGUUGUAGUUCAAAAUCUCAUAGUUGGACCUUCGGGCCGGUCGGCCGGUCCGCCUCACAGCGAGCACCGAAAUACUCGACCCUAGCCUUAAUUGGUCGGGUUGUGUUUUCGGCAUCGUUACUUUGAAGAAAUUAGAGUGCUCAAUGCAAGCCAUCGCUCUAGAUACAUUAGCAUGGGUGUCACGCCCAAGAUGCGACCCUAUCCUAAAGGAACUCGAAGGUCCCACUAAGGAUAGAAGCACAUCUU
Non-coding RNA from Triticum aestivum (bread wheat), 856 nucleotides. Lineage: Eukaryota; Viridiplantae; Streptophyta; Magnoliopsida; Poales; Poaceae. The record is from Rfam.